AAAGAACGGAAUUGUGCCAACAUUGCAAAAGAACAGGGAACAGAUUCUCUCCUAGAGCCUCCAAGAAGGAAUGCAGUCUGCUAACACCUUCCUGUUCUUCCAGGGAGACCCAUAUAGACAUAUGGCCUGCAGAAUUGUCCUCAACUGACUCUGGGGACUAAAGAAAAAAAGUAUAACUUAUCAUGGAAGUUGCUUUAGUGCAAAAUUAAUCAGGUCAGGGGAGGAUUGGAUAUGGAGAUUAAACUGUCAUGCUUGGAUCUGGAAGGGCACCAUCCAAAAGAAAAUGGCCAUGUUCUCACCGAUGAGAUAUUUAGGAUACCGGAUCGCUAGCAUCCUUUCAAGUAGCCCAUUAUAUCCGUGUCUCAAAGAAACCAUACGUAGACACAGCAUCAUCUCUACCCAUAAAAGCUGGCAUUCUGCAAGACUGAGAAGAUGCCCACCUCCAUUCCCAGAGUCCAGGCCUUCAUUAACUCACACGAGAACUACAGAAGCAUCCCCCCGUAGUUCUCCUAUUAGUCACUCCUCCUCAACUGCCUCUAAUCCAUCCAUCCAUCCAUCCAUCCGGCAUGGGUCAUGUAAAGUUACAGCUGAGAAGGGCUGGAUACAGUGAACUGGAGGAAUAGCGGGGAGAAUUGCCAAUACUCAGGAGUCAGGCUUCACAUUGAUCAUGCAGCUAAUAAGAAAGAAGGCAAAGGUACCAAGCCCCUUGCCAUAUGAGAGCUUCCAUCAACUUUGGCAGAAGAUAGAAAGGAAAAUACUACUACUGUUUAGAAACUGCACUGAUAUUUCUUGACUUCUCCUGAAUCGACUACUGUUUUCCCCUCAGUGAUUCAAAUACAAGAGAAAUUUUUCUCAUCAUUCUGUGUCUCAAAGCUCUGAAAUAAGGCAUCUUUUCCUGUCUUUUAUUUGAUUUAAGGCCAGCUUCAAGCAUUUAUUGAACUGAUUAGCACAUUAGUUUUAUUUUUUUUUUCCAUGUCCUUUUAUGUUCUGGUGAGUUUAUUAGGUGAGGCCAGUUUCCUUCAGAGAAUUUAAUCCAAAGGCCUUUACUAGAAGGCUGGCAUGUUUCCUUUUCUCAUAAAGAUAAGGAAACAUCAACAGGCAUAACAUAGCAGAAUGUCUAGCCUAAGUUAUGGAAAAGAUUCCAUGCCAUACUCCCUGGUGAGGUUGACUUCACACUUACUGGCUUACUUCUCCUGAUACUUGGUUUACAAGUGAGACAAGUAAUCCCCUCUGAGGGUAACUGGUCAUGUUUCUUUGUUUAUUCUGGGGGUCAUUUUGCCACUAACAGCUAUGCUGGCUCUAUGCAGAACUUCAAAGCUCAGGCUGUCUACCUGAGCUAUAGGGAAGAAGAAGCUACAGAGUUGCCUUUAAUAAGACAUCAGCAAUACAUUUAGCUGUCAGGGAAGAUGGGUCAUAUUUAGGAAUACAUGGAGAAUAAGUUUUAAAAGAGAGAGAAUCCAAAUGUAUUGUACUCUUAAUUAGAGGUCCCUAAACUGCAAAUUCAUUUGCUAAUAUAAUUUCUCAUGCUUUUUAUUUCAAUAAUGUAUGUAUUCGGUAAUGUCUGAUAAAUACUUGCACUUCA
RNAcentral lists this small RNA (1582 nucleotides) under Pan troglodytes (chimpanzee). RNAcentral describes it as "processed transcript". Lineage: Eukaryota; Metazoa; Chordata; Mammalia; Primates; Hominidae. The record is from RNAcentral.